RNAcentral lists this non-coding RNA (973 nucleotides) under Pongo abelii (Sumatran orangutan). Lineage: Eukaryota; Metazoa; Chordata; Mammalia; Primates; Hominidae. The record is from RNAcentral.
GAGUACAGGCUAGUAUCGCGAGAUCAGGAGGGUGGCCGAGGGUGUCGCCGCGGCCAUCAGGGGGGUUAUAGCCAUGUGACUAAUCUUUGUCCGAGAAUAUAUAAAGCAAAAGUGUUGAGUUGGCUUUUGGGGCUAGAGCAAUGUAUCUUAGGCUCACUUAAGGAAGCUGUAGAAAUGAGCCCAAGGAGGGAAACCAGAAGAGCCCCCCAGGCUCACCAGUUGUUUGUUGGCUCCCUACAAACAUGUCAUUCAAGUGGCUAAUCUUACAACAGCACAAAUGCAUCUAACCAGAAAGAGAAGAGGAGGCUCCAAAGGCACUUGACUACUGAGCAUCACCCUGGACGUGUACAAGUCUGCGUCCUUAUUGUUUUCUUCAUUGGGCCGAACUUUCUGGUCCUCAUCCAACAGCUCUUCUAUCACAUGUUCGAAAGUGUCAGCCAACGAUGUCAGGCCUCUUGAACCCGCCUUGGGCCCAUUCACGCUCUCCAGAGUCCCAUGGGUCCGCACACCUGGAGAUACUCUAUUAUAGCAAAGAAGAAAGAUAAUUUCAUUGAGCCAUCCUGUUUUACAGCACCCAACAGAAUCUCUUCAAAGCCUGGUGGUCUGACACCCUAUGCUACGUGACUUGUGACCCAUCCAUUUGUCAUGUUCUUUGGGAAUGUGGCUAAGGGGCUGAGAUGUGACUUGAAAAGAAAGGUAGAACAAGAUCAUCUCAAAUUUAUUAUCAAGGAAUAGUUCAGACAACGACUUCAGGCCACAAAGACAGCAGAACAGAUGGUCCGGCAUGGAUAGAGCAUCAGACACUCACAGACUGUGCCAACAAGAGCCAUCGAGUCAAAACAGCCAAAGGAAGGAGGGUCAUGGAAUGGGUUCUCUCACACCAAACUGAUGCCCAGAGGCCCUCGGCAUGAAUAACAAAGGCAACCAGACCCACAAUCCAUACUGAGUGGAUACAAAACCUAUACCUAGGCUG